This 301-nucleotide ribosomal RNA is filed under the name uncultured bacterium. Its description in RNAcentral is "partial 16S ribosomal RNA". It matches the Rfam family "Bacterial small subunit ribosomal RNA", at positions 509 to 807 of the family's 1533-position model. The record is from RNAcentral.
CAGUAGCCACGGUAAUACAGAGGGUGCGAGCGUUAAUCGGAUUUACUGGGCGUAAAGCGUGCGUAGGCGGCUUCUUAAGUCGGAUGUGAAAUCUCUGAGCUUAACUUAGGAAUUGCAUUCGAUACUGGGAAGCUAGAGUAUGGGAGAGGAUGGUAGAAUUCCAGGUGUAGCGGUGAAAUGCGUAGAGAUCUGGAGGAAUACCGAUGGCGAAGGCAGCCAUCUGGCCUAAUACUGACGCUGAGGUACGAAAGCAUGGGGAGCAAACAGGAUUAGAUACCCCCGUAGUCCCUGUCUCUUAUAC